AGGAAAUCCACCUUUUCCUGUUACACUUAGAGUAUCCCCUAUCCUCAGAGACCUUCUGAGGAAACUGAUUUGAACAAAACAGUGUUUUGAAGCUCUUCUUUUGACAGCUCAAAGCUGGGCUUUUCAGUUCUCCCUGUAUCUGCAUUUGGGGAAGCAGCAUGGCUCUGAGCAGGGCCGUGCAGUGCUGCUGUCCUGUUAUUGCUGCUGGAGCGGCCAGGAGCCUUGGGAGGGGCCAGGCGAGGAAGAACCGUACCAUUUAUCCUUAAUGUACCUUUGAUGCGGUCACUCCGUGGAGCUUGCAUAGAAGCUGGUAAGAGGGAAAUACAGAACUAGUGCCAUUUAAAAGCCACUUGUACUUUUUUUUCAUUUGGAUACCAUUCAUAUGAAAUAUCGUUUAAAUUCUAGGCUCAUUGCCAAGAGCUGCGUUGUUGAUGUUCGAUGUACUUUCCAUUAAAGCUCUGUAUUGGCAAACUGCUUCCUAGUGCUGCAGGCAUCAGCAGGGUGGGUCAUGCCAGGGCACUGCGCUGCCCCACUGGCGCUGUGCCACUCACUGUGCCCUCCAUCUCGCUCUGCGCGAAGCCUGGCUGGGUCAAUACCCACCGUGUGCAGUGUGAUUCCUCCUGACCCAAACGACAGACGGAGCGUGGUGCUUGUUCUGCUGUCACGAAAGCCAGCUCUUGCUUCUAAGCUUUCUGAAAGCUGGUAAUAACUCUUUUUUCCCAUACAGUGAAAGGCUUUUGGUCCUCCUUCAUUAUGCAGGUCAGACUGCUGUGUCACCCCAUUUAUACUGCUUUUUACCUACUUGGUCUGUUUUCAUAGAAGAUUGUGUUUGGAGACUCAGACCUCCAGAUGCCCAUAAGGAUUGGUAUUUCUUUGCAGCCCUUAAGGGAGCCAGAAUGCAGCCUCCUGGGGCACGGUGUGCUGCCUGUUUACAAAUCCUGCCCUUCUGUUAGGAUAGGGACAGAUUCUGCAUCCCAAAUGAACUACGAAAAUCCUCCACCUUACCCUGGCCCGGGCCCGUCGGCCCCAUACCCACCCUAUGCCCCACAGCCAGGUGGCCCUCCUGGCCCCUACCCCGGCUAUCCACCCGGACCCACAGGGCCGUACCCGCCAGGCCAGCCAGGCUAUCAAGGUUAUCCGCAGUAUGGAUGGCAAAAUGCACCUCCGCCUCCAGGACCAGUGUAUGCAGAUGGGCCUAAAAACACAGGUAUGCUUAGCAGCAGUGGUGCAGGGUGA
Molecule: long non-coding RNA, 1236 nt
Filed under: Chrysolophus pictus (golden pheasant)
Lineage: Eukaryota; Metazoa; Chordata; Aves; Galliformes; Phasianidae
Description: lncRNA (ENSCPIG00010007247.1)
Source: RNAcentral